This 1439-nucleotide ribosomal RNA is filed under the name uncultured Eubacteriaceae bacterium. RNAcentral's name for it is "bacterial SSU rRNA". It matches the Rfam family "Bacterial small subunit ribosomal RNA". Lineage: Bacteria; Bacillati; Bacillota; Clostridia; Eubacteriales; Eubacteriaceae. The record is from RNAcentral.
GAUGAACGCUGGCGGCGUGCCUAACACAUGCAAGUCGAGCGAGAACUUGGGAAGUAACACUUCGGUGGAGCGACCUUUGGGAAAGCGGCGGACGGGUGAGUAACGCGUAGGCAACCUGCCCUCAACACAGGGAUAGCCUCGGGAAACCGGGAUUAAAACCUGAUAACACCUUCUUCCCACCUGAGAAGAAGGUCAAAGAUUUAUCGGUUGAGGAUGGGCCUGCGUCUGAUUAGUUAGUUGGUGAGGUAACGGCUCACCAAGGCAGCGAUCAGUAGCCGACCUGAGAGGGUGAUCGGCCACAUUGGAACUGAGACACGGUCCAAACUCCUACGGGAGGCAGCAGUGGGGAAUCUUGCACAAUGGGCGAAAGCCUGAUGCAGCAACGCCGCGUGAGCGAAGAAGGCCUUUGGGUCGUAAAGCUCUGUCCUCAGGGAAGAAAAAAAUGACGGUACCUGAGGAGGAAGCCCCGGCUAACUACGUGCCAGCAGCCGCGGUAAUACGUAGGGGGCAAGCGUUAUCCGGAAUUAUUGGGCGUAAAGAGUAUGUAGGUGGUUUCUUAAGCGCAGGGUAUAAGGCAAUGGCUCAACCAUUGUUCGCCUUGGGAACUGAGAGACUUGAGUGCAGGAGAGGAAAGUGGAAUUCCUAGUGUAGCGGUGAAAUGCGUAGAUAUUAGGAGGAACACCAGUGGCGAAGGCGGCUUUCUGGACUGUAACUGACACUGAGAUACGAAAGCGUGGGGAGCAAACAGGAUUAGAUACCCUGGUAGUCCACGCCGUAAACGAUGAGCACUAGGUGUCGGGGUCGCAAGGCUUCGGUGCCGCAGUUAACGCAUUAAGUGCUCCGCCUGGGGAGUACGCACGCAAGUGUAAAACUCAAAGGAAUUGACGGGGACCCGCACAAGCAGCGGAGCAUGUGGUUUAAUUCGAAGCAACGCGAAGAACCUUACCAGAGCUUGACAUCCUUCUGACCGGUCCGUAAUGGGACCUUUCUUCGGACAGAAGAGACAGGUGGUGCAUGGUUGUCGUCAGCUCGUGUCGUGAGAUGUUGGGUUAAGUCCCGCAACGAGCGCAACCCUUGUCCUUAGUUGCCAGCAUUGAGUUGGGCACUCUAAGGAGACUGCCGGGGAUAACUCGGAGGAAGGUGGGGAUGACGUCAAAUCAUCAUGCCCCUUAUGUUCUGGGCUACACACGUGCUACAAUGGUCGGUACAACGAGUCGCAAGACCGCGAGGUGGAGCAAAUCUUGAAAACCGAUCCCAGUUCGGAUUGUAGGCUGAAACUCGCCUACAUGAAGUCGGAGUUGCUAGUAAUCGCAGAUCAGAAUGCUGCGGUGAAUGCGUUCCCGGGUCUUGUACACACCGCCCGUCACACCAUGGAAGUCGGGGGCGCCCGAAGUUGGUCAACGAAUAGACUACCUAAGGCGAAAUCGAUGACUGGGGUG